RNAcentral lists this unclassified non-coding RNA (378 nucleotides) under uncultured Thermoleophilia bacterium. RNAcentral's name for it is "contains 16S-23S intergenic spacer region". Lineage: Bacteria; Bacillati; Actinomycetota; Thermoleophilia. The record is from RNAcentral.
UCCGGCUUGACGCCGGCAGUCCCCCGAGAGUCCUCAGCAUGACCUGUUAGUAACACGGGGCAAGGGUUGCGCUCGUUGCGGGACUUAACCCAACAUCUCACGACACGAGCUGACGACAGCCAUGCACCACCUGUGAUCCUGCCCAAAAGGGAAGCUGUGUUUCCACAGCGGUCAGGAACAUGUCAAGCCCUGGUAAGGUUCUUCGCGUCACGUCGAAUUAAACCACAUGCUCCGCUGCUUGUGCGGGUCCCCGUCAAUUCCUUUGAGUUUUAGCCUUGCGGCCGUACUCCCCAGGCGGGGUGCUUAAUGCGUUAGCUUCGGCACGGACGGAGUCGACACCGCCCACACCUAGCACCCAUCGUUUACGGCGUGGACUAC